GGCUGGUCUCGAACUCCUGACCUCAGGUGAUCCGGCCGCCUUGGCCUCCCAAAGUGCUGGGAUUACAGCCAUGAGCCACAGCGCCCGGCCAAACUCCUUGUUCUACUCUUUCCCCCUUGUCACUACUGCACUUGACUAGUCUUUA
Molecule: small RNA, 145 nt
Filed under: Nomascus leucogenys (northern white-cheeked gibbon)
Lineage: Eukaryota; Metazoa; Chordata; Mammalia; Primates; Hylobatidae
Description: Y RNA (ENSNLEG00000020150.2)
Source: RNAcentral